This 466-nucleotide ribosomal RNA is filed under the name uncultured bacterium. Its description in RNAcentral is "partial 16S ribosomal RNA". It matches the Rfam family "Bacterial small subunit ribosomal RNA", at positions 29 to 523 of the family's 1533-position model. The record is from RNAcentral.
AACGAACGCUGGCGGUAUGCUUAACACAUGCAAGUCGAACGAACAAAAUUGGGGCUUGCUCCAAUUUUAGUGAGUGGCAAACGGGUAAGUAACACGUGGGAAUCUACCUAUCAGUACGGAAUAACAUUUGGAAACAGAUGCUAAUACCGUAUAUUCUCCAAGGAGGAAAGAUUUAUCGCUGAUAGAUGAGCCCGCGCAAGAUUAGGUAGUUGGUAGGGUAAUGGCCUACCAAGCCGACGAUCUUUAGCUGGUCUGAGAGGAUGAUCAGCCACACUGGGACUGAGACACGGCCCAGACUCCUACGGGAGGCAGCAGUGGGGUAUAUUGGACAAUGGGCGAAAGCCUGAUCCAGCAAUACCGCGUGAAUGAUGAAGGCCUUAGGGUUGUAAAGUUCUUUUAGUUGGAAAGAUAAUGACGGUACCAACAGAAAAAGCCCCGGCUAACUCCGUGCCAGCCGCCGCGGUAA